Molecule: ribosomal RNA, 424 nt
Filed under: uncultured bacterium
Lineage: Bacteria
Description: bacterial SSU rRNA
Rfam family: Bacterial small subunit ribosomal RNA
Source: RNAcentral
GGAAUCUUGCGCAAUGGGCGAAAGCCUGACGCAGCGACGCCGCGUGAGGGAUGAAGGCCUUCGGGUUGUAAACCUCUGUCAGGGGGGCAGAACCCGGAGUCGGUGAAUAACCGGCUCCGCUGACGGUACCCCCAGAGGAACCCCCGGCUACCUCCGUGCCCGCAGCCGCGGUAAGCCGGAGGGUGCGAACGUUGUUCGGAAUCACUGGGCGUAAAGGGCGCGUAGGCGGACUUGUAAGUCAGGAGUGAAAACUCGGGGCUCAACCCCGAGCCUGCUUCUGAAACUGCGAGUCUUGAGGACCGGAGAGGAAAGUGGAAUUCCUAGUGUAGCGGUGGAAUGCGUAGAUAUUAGGAAGAACACCAGUGGCGAAGGCGACUUUCUGGACGGUUCCUGACGCUGAGGCGCGAAAGCUAGGGGAGCAAAC